RNAcentral lists this long non-coding RNA (2555 nucleotides) under Mus musculus (house mouse). RNAcentral describes it as "long non-coding RNA chrM:1148-3703". The stretch from base 24 to 1415 matches the Rfam family "Bacterial large subunit ribosomal RNA". Lineage: Eukaryota; Metazoa; Chordata; Mammalia; Rodentia; Muridae. The record is from RNAcentral.
ACAUUUAUCCUACUAAAAGUAUUGGAGAAAGAAAUUCGUACAUCUAGGAGCUAUAGAACUAGUACCGCAAGGGAAAGAUGAAAGACUAAUUAAAAGUAAGAACAAGCAAAGAUUAAACCUUGUACCUUUUGCAUAAUGAACUAACUAGAAAACUUCUAACUAAAAGAAUUACAGCUAGAAACCCCGAAACCAAACGAGCUACCUAAAAACAAUUUUAUGAAUCAACUCGUCUAUGUGGCAAAAUAGUGAGAAGAUUUUUAGGUAGAGGUGAAAAGCCUAACGAGCUUGGUGAUAGCUGGUUACCCAAAAAAUGAAUUUAAGUUCAAUUUUAAACUUGCUAAAAAAACAACAAAAUCAAAAAGUAAGUUUAGAUUAUAGCCAAAAGAGGGACAGCUCUUCUGGAACGGAAAAAACCUUUAAUAGUGAAUAAUUAACAAAACAGCUUUUAACCAUUGUAGGCCUAAAAGCAGCCACCAAUAAAGAAAGCGUUCAAGCUCAACAUAAAAUUUCAAUUAAUUCCAUAAUUUACACCAACUUCCUAAACUUAAAAUUGGGUUAAUCUAUAACUUUAUAGAUGCAACACUGUUAGUAUGAGUAACAAGAAUUCCAAUUCUCCAGGCAUACGCGUAUAACAACUCGGAUAACCAUUGUUAGUUAAUCAGACUAUAGGCAAUAAUCACACUAUAAAUAAUCCACCUAUAACUUCUCUGUUAACCCAACACCGGAAUGCCUAAAGGAAAGAUCCAAAAAGAUAAAAGGAACUCGGCAAACAAGAACCCCGCCUGUUUACCAAAAACAUCACCUCUAGCAUUACAAGUAUUAGAGGCACUGCCUGCCCAGUGACUAAAGUUUAACGGCCGCGGUAUCCUGACCGUGCAAAGGUAGCAUAAUCACUUGUUCCUUAAUUAGGGACUAGCAUGAACGGCUAAACGAGGGUCCAACUGUCUCUUAUCUUUAAUCAGUGAAAUUGACCUUUCAGUGAAGAGGCUGAAAUAUAAUAAUAAGACGAGAAGACCCUAUGGAGCUUAAAUUAUAUAACUUAUCUAUUUAAUUUAUUAAACCUAAUGGCCCAAAAACUAUAGUAUAAGUUUGAAAUUUCGGUUGGGGUGACCUCGGAGAAUAAAAAAUCCUCCGAAUGAUUAUAACCUAGACUUACAAGUCAAAGUAAAAUCAACAUAUCUUAUUGACCCAGAUAUAUUUUGAUCAACGGACCAAGUUACCCUAGGGAUAACAGCGCAAUCCUAUUUAAGAGUUCAUAUCGACAAUUAGGGUUUACGACCUCGAUGUUGGAUCAGGACAUCCCAAUGGUGUAGAAGCUAUUAAUGGUUCGUUUGUUCAACGAUUAAAGUCCUACGUGAUCUGAGUUCAGACCGGAGCAAUCCAGGUCGGUUUCUAUCUAUUUACGAUUUCUCCCAGUACGAAAGGACAAGAGAAAUAGAGCCACCUUACAAAUAAGCGCUCUCAACUUAAUUUAUGAAUAAAAUCUAAAUAAAAUAUAUACGUACACCCUCUAACCUAGAGAAGGUUAUUAGGGUGGCAGAGCCAGGAAAUUGCGUAAGACUUAAAACCUUGUUCCCAGAGGUUCAAAUCCUCUCCCUAAUAGUGUUCUUUAUUAAUAUCCUAACACUCCUCGUCCCCAUUCUAAUCGCCAUAGCCUUCCUAACAUUAGUAGAACGCAAAAUCUUAGGGUACAUACAACUACGAAAAGGCCCUAACAUUGUUGGUCCAUACGGCAUUUUACAACCAUUUGCAGACGCCAUAAAAUUAUUUAUAAAAGAACCAAUACGCCCUUUAACAACCUCUAUAUCCUUAUUUAUUAUUGCACCUACCCUAUCACUCACACUAGCAUUAAGUCUAUGAGUUCCCCUACCAAUACCACACCCAUUAAUUAAUUUAAACCUAGGGAUUUUAUUUAUUUUAGCAACAUCUAGCCUAUCAGUUUACUCCAUUCUAUGAUCAGGAUGAGCCUCAAACUCCAAAUACUCACUAUUCGGAGCUUUACGAGCCGUAGCCCAAACAAUUUCAUAUGAAGUAACCAUAGCUAUUAUCCUUUUAUCAGUUCUAUUAAUAAAUGGAUCCUACUCUCUACAAACACUUAUUACAACCCAAGAACACAUAUGAUUACUUCUGCCAGCCUGACCCAUAGCCAUAAUAUGAUUUAUCUCAACCCUAGCAGAAACAAACCGGGCCCCCUUCGACCUGACAGAAGGAGAAUCAGAAUUAGUAUCAGGGUUUAACGUAGAAUACGCAGCCGGCCCAUUCGCGUUAUUCUUUAUAGCAGAGUACACUAACAUUAUUCUAAUAAACGCCCUAACAACUAUUAUCUUCCUAGGACCCCUAUACUAUAUCAAUUUACCAGAACUCUACUCAACUAACUUCAUAAUAGAAGCUCUACUACUAUCAUCAACAUUCCUAUGGAUCCGAGCAUCUUAUCCACGCUUCCGUUACGAUCAACUUAUACAUCUUCUAUGAAAAAACUUUCUACCCCUAACACUAGCAUUAUGUAUGUGACAUAUUUCUUUACCAAUUUUUACAGCGGGAGUACCACCAUACAU